RNAcentral lists this ribosomal RNA (231 nucleotides) under uncultured bacterium. Its description in RNAcentral is "partial 16S ribosomal RNA". It matches the Rfam family "Bacterial small subunit ribosomal RNA", at positions 118 to 350 of the family's 1533-position model. The record is from RNAcentral.
UGGGUGAUCUGCCCUGCACUUCGGGAUAAGCCUGGGAAACUGGGUCUAAUACCGGAUAUGACUGCGAAUCGCAUGGUUUGUGGUGGAAAGCUUUUGCGGUGUGGGAUGGGCCCGCGGCCUAUCAGCUUGUUGGUGGGGUUAAGGCCUACCAAGGCGACGACGGGUAGCCGGCCUGAGAGGGUGACCGGCCACACUGGGACUGAGACACGGCCCAGACUCCUACGGGAGGCA